RNAcentral lists this ribosomal RNA (253 nucleotides) under uncultured bacterium. Its description in RNAcentral is "partial 16S ribosomal RNA". It matches the Rfam family "Bacterial small subunit ribosomal RNA", at positions 524 to 776 of the family's 1533-position model. The record is from RNAcentral.
GACGGAGGGGGCUAGCGUUGUUCGGAAUUACUGGGCGUAAAGGGCGCGUAGGCGGUUUUGUGUGUCAGAGGUGAAAUCCCCGAGCUUAACUUGGGAAUUGCCUUUGAAACUGCAAGGCUAGAGAUAUGGAGAGGCAAGCGGAAUUCCGAGUGUAGCAGUGAAAUGCGUAGAUAUUCGGAGGAACACCGGUGGCGAAGGCGGCUUGCUGGCCAUAUACUGACGCUGAGGCGCGAAAGCACGGGGAGCAAACAGG